GCUAGGGAUAGAGCAUGGACAGAGAGACUGGCAGAACUGAAGAAACUCGAGGAAGAAAAGAAGGCAGCCACAGCUUGAUCAUCGUAGUCGAGAAGCAAAAUUUCAACCUGCUAAUUUUGAGUGAAUUUUCUAUCCCUUCUUUAAAAUAGGAAACAUUUUUUUAUGCUGUCAUGUAUUUCUUGAGGUUGAUAUUUAAAUUCCCUCUUCUUUUGUUUUGUUUAGUCUUUUUUCAAAAAAAAUAAUGAUUAGAUUUUGA
RNAcentral lists this unclassified non-coding RNA (256 nucleotides) under Hevea brasiliensis (rubber tree). Lineage: Eukaryota; Viridiplantae; Streptophyta; Magnoliopsida; Malpighiales; Euphorbiaceae. The record is from RNAcentral.